Molecule: ribosomal RNA, 459 nt
Filed under: uncultured bacterium
Lineage: Bacteria
Description: partial 16S ribosomal RNA
Rfam family: Bacterial small subunit ribosomal RNA
Source: RNAcentral
CCUACGGGGGGCAGCAGUGAGGAAUAUUGGUCAAUGGUCGUAAGCCUGAACCAGCCAAGUCGCGUGCAGGAAGAAGGCCCUAUGGGUUGUAAACUGCUUUUAUGCGGGGACAAAAUGCGCCACGCGUGGUGUUUUGUAGGUACCCCAAGAAUAAGCACCGGCUAAUUCCGUGCCAGCAGCCGCGGUAAUACGGAAGGUGCGGGCGUUAUCCGGAUUUAUUGGGUUUAAAGGGUGCGUAGGCGGUAAGUAAAGUCAGCGGUAAAAGACCGGGGCUCAACCCCGGCGAGCCGUUGAAACUGUCGGACUAGAGACGGAGAGAAGUACGCGGAAGGCGAGGUGUAGCGGUGAAAUGCAUAGAUAGCGCGCAGAACUCCGAUUGCGAAGGCAGCGUACCGGCGCCGGACUGACGCUGAGGCACGAAAGCGUGGGUAUCGAACAGGAGUAGAUACCCUUGUAGUC